Molecule: unclassified non-coding RNA, 236 nt
Filed under: fungal sp.
Lineage: Eukaryota; Fungi
Description: partial internal transcribed spacer region
Rfam family: Eukaryotic small subunit ribosomal RNA (bases 1-46)
Source: RNAcentral
AAGUCGUAACAAGGUUUCCGUAGGUGAACCUGCGGAAGGAUCAUUAACACGUAUCCAACGUUAAACCCCCCGUGAACCUUCAGUGCGCUCGCACUUUCUUAGAAAAGGUAGCAAUCCCUGGUAAAUCAUUGCCGAACAGUUUUGAUUCAGGGACUUCUGCGUAGACUGUGCUUGAGCGUGAGGCUUGUGCGGCCACCAAACUCGAACAACUGUUAACAAUGGAUAUCUUGGUUCUC